Long non-coding RNA from Passer domesticus (house sparrow), 2152 nucleotides. RefSeq lists it as uncharacterized. The transcript is spliced from 5 exons. The record is from RefSeq and is a predicted model, not a curated record. NCBI's taxonomy places the organism in Eukaryota, Metazoa, Chordata, Aves, Passeriformes, Passeridae.
UCGUGCUUUCAGAGAAGGAUUGUGUGUCAGUGGUGUUACAGACUGCAAAUAAUACAGAAAUCAACAGGAAAAGCAUUUUACCUUCACAGGUAGUGAAGUGUGAGGACAAUUCUCACAGUUACACAGAACGGUUUCACAGUCCAUACAAAAAAUACAGAGACAUUUCCUGCACCUCAGUGCCCAUCACCACUCUGCUUGUUUCUAAACCCCUGGUUUUUGUAACUGAUGACACAGAUACCCACCAUGCUGUUGCUUGGUUACCUUAAUAGAUGUCAUAAACCAAACUGCUUGGUUUGCAGUAGCUGAUAGAGGCUGUAAAAUGCAGACAGGCUCUGCACACAGUCCAUGUUCCCCUGUUGCUAUGCAGACUGGUUCUGACACUCUUUGAGAGCAGGUGACAAUUGGGUCUGUAUUCCUUAGAGAUUUCACAUCUGCUGUCAUGUAAAGAUGUGCUGGGGAGAGCUCUUGAAGACAAACUGCUAAACUCUGCAAACUGCACCUCUUCUGCCAUCCGUCCUCCGGGAGAGCCUGAGGGUUGGAACUGCAGUUGCUAAUCCUUGCUGGAAGCCUUGCUGGUCACUCCUGAUGUCCACCAGCCCCCUGGAUGGUCCCUGCAGGGGUGGCACCACUGCGGUGGGGUCCUGCAGCCGUGUCUGUCAACUUUAAUAGACCCAGUGUGGGAUUUGUGCAGCCUGGGAGCAGAACCAGGUCCUCCCACAGCUGCCCAGGCCAGGUCCUCCAGGUGCAGUUUGGAAACUGUUCGCUAGAUGUCAGCUAUAGACAGGGAAAAGGCGUGAACAGCCUCUGCUCCUGCCUUGAGGAUCCUCUGCUGUGGCAGGAAGGUGGGAUUUUCUCGCUGAUGAAGCAGAGGAGAACUGAGGGUUUGAGGCUAUCACCGUUCAUGGCGUUUGUUCCCCGUUCCCAAAGAAAAACGUAUGGCAAACGUAUAAGCUGUCCUUGCAUCUCCCAGACCUUAAUGAGUAUCAAUUCCUGGUGCUGUAAUCAAGUUUGUGGGCAGCUCCCAUUGGCACAAAUGGCAGCUGCCCCUCUAAUCUGAUUUUCAGCCCAGACGCCCUUUGCAUGUCUCUCUAAUUCUCAGGUGCACUCACAUUCCCAGGCAGCAGGAGGACACAACUGCUUGCUACAAAUAGAUACUUUAAAAGGGAAUGCGUCUUUUUUAUUGCACCCAAGGGGCUGUGCUUGCACAGAGGCAGCUGCUUGAGGAUAUCUCCAGACACCUGUGUCAGAGCAGAGGGGACCUUCUGCACUAUGAAGACACUGUGGUGCAAAUGGGUUUUUCACUGGGCUGUGGAAGAAGGUGUUGCUUAUCUUAAUGUGAAAUACAUCUUCCCUUCCACCUUCUGUGGCAGCAAUAGAGGAGACACUCCUAUCUUAAAAAAAAGUACACAAGUGGUUAAGGUGGAAAUACCUUUUCAACCAAUGGCCAAGAGAAGAAAUCAGUCAGUGUGGUAAGGACAAGCAGUAUUAAAUACAUCAAACUGAAGCUUUUUUCCCCUGUUUCUUAUCAUCAUCCUCCAGUUUUCUCCACCACCCACACUCUCAGUCACCGUUGGCUCCCAUUGUGUUUUCAGCCCUGCAGAUGUUCAGUGUGAAGAUUCCUCUCCCUGUGCUUGGGACCUGGGGUGUUUCUGCCCCCUGGCAUCACACAGGGCAUGUUUGCUCCCCUUGCCAAGCUGCUGGGGGGCUCCUGUGUCCUGCUGCCACCAUGGGACCUGUUACAUCCAGAGGUCUGUGUUAGACCUAGUGCUCCUAAAUCUGCCAGGUUCUCCUUCCCCUGAGCUUCUGCUGCAUUCCCUGAGAAAUAAAUAUGUUCAGCAUCUCCAGAGAUGGCCUUUUGGGAGGCCCAGCCUCAGGCUUGAUCCCAGCCCCUGCUGAAGUUGGUAGAAACACUUCUUAGACCCUGGCAGGUGUUGGAUCUACAUUUGGGGUUGUUCCCAAGGUCGUUGUCUGAGUCCUUGCUGGAGGAGUAAGGUGGGAGAAAAGCUUGGUAAAGUACAGCCAUGCAGUUAUAGAGAGAAAAAAGUGCCUGUUCCUAGGCAGGAUUUUACACAGGCAGUGUGCACUGUCUGCAUCAGUGAGAAGUUUAUUGUAACCUCCACAGGCAGUACCCUCAGCAAUUCAUUUUUCUAUU